AGUUAGUCCACCAUCCAUUUUGGAUUUUCCUAAGCCGCACGUUUGUAUGCGAUAUUUAGCCGAUGAUUUUUAAAUGCAACAUUAAAAGCAAUGAAUGGCAAUAAAAAAUAGUUCGCGGAUAGACAUAUUUUGAAUCCUAUUUGAGAUUUAAAAUUGUUAAAAAAAGACAAAAAUACACUACUAACAAUACAAAAUGGAGGGAGCAGAAACAGGUGGUGGUUAAAUUGGAGUGCAGAGAUAGAAAAUUUUGUUAUACAAAUUUAAAGGAAUUCCGUUGAUGACGACCAGGACAAAUCCAAUGAAGCAACAAAACUGGACAACCUUCUGGAGAUUGAUCGGGAAAUGCUGGAAGUCCAGAAGGAGCAGCAGAAAUUACAGGAGGAGCAUCAGAAAACAAAGCAAUAGAUACUCCAGUAAAAUUCGAGCAAUUCGAGGCCAAGCCAACUUCCAAUCAGAGCUGCUGCAAUUUUUAAGGGAGUCCAAAGAGAAAUGUUAUCAAGAUCUUAUAUGUAUAGUUUUAUUGUAACCAAUAAAAUCGCCAAUUUAUUCAUGUGAACUUGUAAAA
Long non-coding RNA from Drosophila miranda, 565 nucleotides. RefSeq lists it as uncharacterized. NCBI's taxonomy places the organism in Eukaryota, Metazoa, Arthropoda, Insecta, Diptera, Drosophilidae. The transcript has 2 exons. The record is from RefSeq and is a predicted model, not a curated record.